AUGCUACCCGCUUAUUUGUUAUGUAGAUUACAGCAUUGGGUUGAAUGCAUUGCGUAGUUAGGCUCCACUGCACUCUACAUACAUGCACAUGUAGCUCCAACAGGUGGUGCAUAUCUAUAGUGGGUGGGUUGAAUGCAUUGGGUAGUUAGGCUCCACUGCACUCUACAUACAUUGUAGCUCAAACAGGUGAUGCAUAGCUAUAGUGGGUGGGUUGCCUUACUUUGCAGUGUAGUGUCACUAUCUGCACACAAGUCAUACAGGCAGGACCUAUGGGUUGGAGGUGGAUGAAAGUUGUUUCAUAGGACCUAUGGGUUGGAGGUGAAUGAAAGUUGUUUCAUAGCAUUUUGCGCUGCAAGUCCAAUUUCCAUAGAGAGUCACGAUCACCAGAACCGACAUUGAGGCCUGCCCCGAUUUUCUGCAUUUCAGUCAACCAGUCAAACUAUGGUGUUCCGGCUAGGACGUACAGAGCAAGUCCGGUAUCUAAGUUCAUGCCACAAUGGGUGGAUCUCUACCUGUAACGACUAAGGAGAGAUGAAGGUGCCAUUACAGAUGUAGCAACCCCUUCGUUACACGGGACAAGUUCCAGCAACAGUAACAACUAUGGUUUCUUUGUUCCCAUGAACAAUAUUUUAUUAUCACAUCUUGAGUGAUUGCAUCACUAAAGUGGGUUAUUUUAUUUAUAUUUCCAGACGUACGAUAAACUUACGACCAUUUUCAGUGACGAUACUCUGUACAAAUGUGUGAUUUUGUGACAUCUUAGAAUACAACCUCAGGGUUGGGUUCAAUAUAUAUUUUAUAUCUUUAUAUGCAUUUCUAUUGUGAUAAGAAGUAAUGUAAUAAAGAUAAGAAGAAGAUGAUAUCCUUUGAUACACUUUAA
RNAcentral lists this long non-coding RNA (877 nucleotides) under Strongylocentrotus purpuratus (purple sea urchin). RNAcentral describes it as "uncharacterized LOC115927147". The record is from RNAcentral. Lineage: Eukaryota; Metazoa; Echinodermata; Echinoidea; Camarodonta; Strongylocentrotidae.